UACGUAGGGUGCAAGCGUUGUCCGGAAUUAUUGGGCGUAAAGAGCUCGUAGGCGGUUUGUCGCGUCUGCUGUGAAAACUCGGGGCUCAACCCCGAGCCUGCAAUCGAUACGGGCAGACUAGAGUGCUGUAGGGGAGACUGGAAUUCCUGGUGUAGCGGUGAAAUGCGCAGAUAUCAGGAGGAACACCGGUGGCGAAGGCGGGUCUCUGGGCAGUAACUGACGCUGAGGAGCGAAAGCGUGGGGAGCAAACAGG
This 253-nucleotide ribosomal RNA is filed under the name uncultured bacterium. Its description in RNAcentral is "partial 16S ribosomal RNA". It matches the Rfam family "Bacterial small subunit ribosomal RNA", at positions 524 to 776 of the family's 1533-position model. The record is from RNAcentral.